CCGCCCUCGGAGUCACAUCAUCUUACUGUCUCGUGCGGGCCGCCCUCGGGAGCACACACGCCAGCACACACAUACACCAGCGUGAGAUGGAAAAUCUUUUUGGGCGGAGUGAAGAACGCGAGAAUUCGUUUAACUCGAUCCCAGAGCUACGACGGAUUCGACCGGUUUUUCGUAUCGCAAUUUGCGAUGUUAAUCAAAAUUACGAAAGAGCCACGGCGAUGGAAAGUAUAAGGCUAUCAUGAAAAGCCGCUUAUGCAAAUCUUCGGACAGCUGUCUCGGCGAGUGAAUAUUGUGUAGGUACCACGAAGAAGCUGUACUUACUUAACAAAGGAACAAGGGAGAAGACGGAGGUCCGGGAAGGCAUCGGGCGACGCGACGGCGGAGAAACCGUGGGUUUUCGACACAGUUUGCAUAGCAACUGCCGCUGUUGCGUCAUCAUAUCGGGUGAGUCGUAAAUUAUUUUCUAUUAAAUUGAGG
This is a long non-coding RNA of Temnothorax curvispinosus, 477 nucleotides long. RefSeq lists it as uncharacterized. The transcript has 4 exons. The record is from RefSeq and is a predicted model, not a curated record. Lineage: Eukaryota; Metazoa; Arthropoda; Insecta; Hymenoptera; Formicidae.